Molecule: non-coding RNA, 1389 nt
Organism: Taeniopygia guttata (zebra finch)
Lineage: Eukaryota; Metazoa; Chordata; Aves; Passeriformes; Estrildidae
Source: RefSeq, a predicted model, not a curated record
AGUGUCAUGUAAUGUAAGCAUGUUUACCUAUAUCGGCUGUGGAUGUUUUGGUGGAAUUUGACAAAAACAAAUGUAAGCCUUGCAGUUACUUAGAUGAAUACUAAGUUACAUAUGAAUUGUACCUGAGAGAGAUGCUACUGAAAUCAGUGGAACUAAUUAUGAUACAUGAAGUUAAGUACAUCUGCAAAGUUAUUUAAGAAGAGGAUGGUCAAAUUAGAAAAAAAAGCUCAAAAAAUUUUUGCACUGAUUUUAGUAGAUUUAGGUAUUUAUUGAACUACAGUUUGUGCUGACUGUAGGCUUAGUGUCAGUCAUAAGUUUAUUUACACUAGAGCAGUUUUCUAUUUCCCACCAUGAACCCUUAGAAUGUUUACAAAUUUUGAAUUACCAGGCCCCAGAUACCAAGAGUAGUGUGACCAGUAGGACCAGGAAAGUGAUUGUCCCCCUGUACUCAGAACUGGUAAGGCCACACCUCACAUACUGUUCCGUUUUGGGCCACUCACUUAAAAAAUGGCAUUUUAGUGCUGGAGUGAGUUCAGAGAAGGGCAGUGACGCUGGUGAAGGUCUUCUGGGGGCAUCUGGGGGAAUUGGCCUUGUUUGGUCUGAAGAAGAGGAGGCUCACGCUCAUUGUUCUCUUCAGCUGUCUAAAAGGAAACCAUCAUGAGGCAGGGGUUGGUUUUUAUUGCCAUGUCUCAAGUGGAAGGAUGAGAGGAAAUUACUUUAAGUUGUACCAGGGGAGAUACAGAUUAGACAUCAGAAAUUUUAUUUUCACUGCAGAAGUGGUUAGGCAUUGGAAUAAGCUGCCAAGGGAGGUUGUGGAGGUACCACCUGUAGAAGUGUUGAAGAGGCAUCUGGAUGUGGCACUUGGGUUUAGGGGUGAUUAAAAUGGUGCUGUGUUGCCAGAUGGUCUUAAAGGUCUCUUCCAGUCUUGAUGAUUCUGUGGAUCUAGCCAUGUGAUAGGACUGAAAUAGAUCAGGGACAUAGGAAGAAUGCAUCACAUGUGGGCAGCAUUUUGGCCGAUCUCCUAUCAGCAAAGUCAAUACUGAAUUAUGCUAUUCACAGGAUGGAAACAAAUUUACUUGUUCUUCUUUUACCUUUGAAAUGGCAAAAUUGGAAUGGCUGCUGUCAAGAAAGAAUAAGCACUGGAUAGCAGGAUUAAGAGAUGAGAAAUUAUCCAGAGAAAUUUCUGGAUGAGAGGAGAGUAAUUUCAGAUUGGUGCCAUCUGCAGGAAGCACUAGGGUUAUAUCAGACUAGAUUGACUGAGUCCAUAUCAUCAUGCAAAAUUAGCCAGUCUGCUACCUCUGCCCAUUUAACCAUAACAAAUGGUGAUUUAUGCUGUCUGUGCAGUCACUAACUUGAAAAGGUAGAAUUCAAGAGAUGUUACAUUGAAAA